AACCGACUUCGUUUUUCUGUCAAAGCGAUUUUAAGUAAAAAACGCGCGCCUUUUCGAACGAAAAUUCGAACGAACAGCGCGCGCCACUAUGCGCAGAAAGGGUGCGCAGUGCAAUUCAAGGGAAUUACCUUAACUCCACACCAUGAGCGGCUUUGCUGGCCAAUGGAAAUAUUCCACAGUUUGCACAAGGCUACUCUUGGGCUACACGUGAGGUUCGUUGUAAAAAGGGUACACUAUGUGAGCUACACGUGAGGUUCUGUAUAUAAAAAAAAAUCACUCCUAACUUUUCCCAUACCGGCAACGAACUGGCUGAACCACUUCCAUGAUAUACAGUUAUGGAUCGAAAGUUCAUCGUUUGUUCCAGAGCACAUCGAAUCAAAUAAAACAAAAGAAGCAAAGACAUUGACCUCGGGGUUUACCAAGUCAAACAAAGAAGCAAAGAUUUUUUUAUUCGAUACCCAACAAGGAAAAAGUUCAAUAUUCAUGAAGAGAAGUAAAAAAUCGAGUUUUGGAUUCCUGGUGGAGUCAGGAGAAUAACGCGUUUAUCGGUACAACUCCAAGUGUCUGCGCUCGUGAACACGGCAGUUGCCAGCUUGGUUAAACGCUUUGGAGCAGGACUGGCAGCGAUAUGGCUUCACUUGUGUAUGUAUCCUUAUGUGGGCCUGGAUUAAGAGAAAGACUUCGUUUGCAAGGUUCCCUAGUUAUAAAGAAUGUAAGGCACUCAUAAUAGGGAGGGGAGGGUACAUUUUCUACAUCCGCACCUUGUACCUUCAAACCAACCGCUCACAAAAAUACACAAAUUUUCCCCCAAGUUUUUCACGCAUUGCUAAAGGUCUCUUAGGUAUUUUAGAGUACUGACUGACGAAUUUAACAUAAUAAAAGACCCACCUUGAGAUAAUGCUUGCGCUUUAGCUUCAUACCGCACACGGGACACCAGACAGGGUUGGGCGGGGGCUUCCUUGUUGGCGUCUCUCCGCCAUUCCACUCCUCGUGAACAGACCUACUGUUGUUUGGAACGGUUCGUCCAUCUCCAGGCGGGAAGUCGCCAGCGCCACUUUGGUAAAAGUAGCCAUAACCUUGCCGUGACGAUUCAUUGUCAUUUGGGAAAGCACGGUUAGUAGUAUUAUCUCCAGCUUGGUAAGUGCUUCGUAUGCACGAUUUACUGGGGAUAUGCGAUGGGCCAAACGACCGAAUUAGUGACGGAACGCUCACUUCUGGCUCGCAGUAAGAACCCGUGACUUCUUGUGGCACUAGAUACUCUAUAUAAGACCUAUACAGAGAAGCAUUGUCAAAGCCAACGUCUUGGAUUUGGUAUGGGUAAGGAUUCCAUACGUCGUGGUACUGGAGUUGGUAGUGGUUCCUCGCAGCUCUGCCUGAAUGAAAUGCUGACGCUUGCGAGAUGUAGGAACAGGACCCGGAACCGUCUUCGCUGGAUCCGGAAUACUGCAAUUCGUCUUCUGGGGUGUUUUCUUGGGGACUCAAACCUUCAUGCUCCUGAGGGCUUCCGUUGGUGCCGCGUUGGGGACUAGAUAGAUCGCUGGGUGGGCAUUUCACUUAGUCACGAAGGGUGAUAACGCACCAAUCACGAUAAGGUCUUCUCUCUUGAUUGUUCAGGAAGCCGUUACAGAUUACUGUCUGCUCCAACGGCGUAGACAUUUCUUUUCUCGGCGUAGACAAUUCUUUGUUGUCUUUAAUGCCAGGGCAGCAUUUUUUAUUUGUAUUGUUAACAUUUUGGAAGUCUUUAUUCCUUACAAUGACUGGUAUUGGUGUUCCCUUCUGAAAGCUUGCACUAUACUGGGACAGAGCGUUAUUCCAGUAUUCGUAGAGAAUACGAGACGCUUCAUGUUCUUCAUAAGAUGCUUCGUGUUGGUGCGUCUCAAAGCGAUGUUCCUUUGUAUUGAGUUCCAUUGAUUCUACCUUAUCACCAAUAUAUGUAUUAUCUGGCAGUUACUGUUUCUUGCUCAUAGCGAAGGGAUGGUGGUAGGCUACAUUAGCAAUAGCAUUAUCAUCUGCUAAGCCCUGGUUUGAAGUUGACGGUUUUCCGUUACACGACCACUUGUGCUGCUCUCUAUUGUUAGCUCCAAGGUAGGUACUGGAUCGUUGGAGUCACUUGCCUUCGUAAGUCUGGCAUGGCAGGUAAGAGUAGGGUUAAGUUUAGGGUCGUCCUCGUUUUCAUUAACCUCACAUUUGAUGUCAAUAGUUUCCUCAGCCUUUCGUUCUUUCAUCGUUAAUGGAUGGACCGAUUUUGAAGUGCACGUUUCAUUCAAGGGCUGGGUGUGAUGCAUCAGGGAGGAAGUUCGCGUCUCUCUCGACCAUUCCUUCUGAGGGAACUUAAUAAUAAUAAUGAUGAUUAAUUAAUAAUUAAUAAAU
Molecule: long non-coding RNA, 2370 nt
Organism: Nematostella vectensis (starlet sea anemone)
Lineage: Eukaryota; Metazoa; Cnidaria; Anthozoa; Actiniaria; Edwardsiidae
Exons: 4
Source: RefSeq, a predicted model, not a curated record